UGGGGAAUAUUGCACAAUGGAGGGAACUCUGAUGCAGCAACGCCGCGUGCGGGAUGACGGCCUUCGGGUUGUAAACCGCUUUCAGCCAUGACGAAGCUUUUGUGACGGUAGUGGUAGAAGAAGCACCGGCUAACUACGUGCCAGCAGCCGCGGUGAUACGUAGGGUGCGAGCGUUGUCCGGAAUUAUUGGGCGUAAAGAGCUUGUAGGCGGUUUGUCGCGUCGAUAGUGUAAACACGCAGCUUAACUGUGUGCCUGCUGUCGAUACGGGUUGACUAGAGGAGGGUAGGGGAGAAUGGAAUUCCCGGUGGAGCGGUGGAAUGCGCAGAUAUCGGGAGGAACACCAGUGGCGAAGGCGGUUCUCUGGACCUUUCCUGACGCUGAGAAGCGAAAGCGUGGGUAGCAAACAGG
RNAcentral lists this ribosomal RNA (409 nucleotides) under Fusobacteriota bacterium. Its description in RNAcentral is "Fusobacteria bacterium partial 16S ribosomal RNA". It matches the Rfam family "Bacterial small subunit ribosomal RNA", at positions 355 to 776 of the family's 1533-position model. The record is from RNAcentral. Lineage: Bacteria; Fusobacteriati; Fusobacteriota.